Ictidomys tridecemlineatus (thirteen-lined ground squirrel) is the source of this 2275-nucleotide non-coding RNA. NCBI's taxonomy places the organism in Eukaryota, Metazoa, Chordata, Mammalia, Rodentia, Sciuridae. The record is from RefSeq and is a predicted model, not a curated record.
UCCACGGCUGGAUCAGGGGGCAGACUGCCACAAGGCCCUUUCACGGGCAGGAAGAGCAGCUGAGGCAUAAGUUGGCAGGAUCUUGCUCUUACAACCUGAACCAUCAUCUCUUUGGCUCUGGAGCUGCCACAAGACCUAUGCAGGAGCAGGAGGCCUGGAAUCUCCUUCCCAUAUAAAUUAGCUGGCUGCAUUGUGUCGAAGUGAAGGCCUAUUUAUUUUGCUAGACUGAAGCCAACCCUGAACUUGAUGAGAGUCCUGUGCAGAGAUGAAGAGGAAGAGGCAGUGCUAUCUGAGAAUCAGGAUGGGGGCAUGUGAUCCUUUCAGGAAUGAGCAGGCUUGACAGACACCUCAAGACCCUGGGGUACCAGGCAUUGGACCAACAGUUGGCCAAUCAAGAAGUUAAGGCCAUCUCAGACAAGAUUUGAACAUCUGGAUAGAGGAAGAGCCACCAAGCUAAGUGGAACAAGCAUUGCCAUCAAAGAAUUCUCUCAGGAAGGAGUUAUUAUGCUUUUGUGACAAGGAUUUAGACUUUCUGAGCUACCAAAUUCAUUAGCAAGCCUCAGUGUUCUUAGCAAUAACAUAAUCAUAAUUACUCCUUAGCAUUGGGAAGAUUAAGUGUAAUGACGUGUAAAUUACGUGACAAACAUGCUGGCCCAUAUAGAUGCCCAAAGAAUAUCUUGAACUUGAAGGAUUCAUGGUCUUAAAAGAAACACAAUUUUCUUCUAGCGUUUUAACAAUGUCUUUAGUUUUCUAGGCCUAUUUGAGAAACCAUUCUUUUCAAAGAAUACCUUGGUCUUUCACUUAUUUUUAUAAAGUGUCAUAUAGCAUCAUGGGCUAUGUUUCAAUUUGAAACUAGAAGAUUGAAAGAGCUGAUAAAAGAGAAUGACCUGGUAAUAAGUAUAAAAACUAAAGACACAAUGGAGGUUUUCAAAAUAAGGCAUUUUUCUCUAACAGAGAAUAUCUCCUGUGUUACUCUUUAGGUCACAUAGAGCAGGAUUGACAUGAGGUGAACAUAGAGUGACUAUGGGCCAUAGUCCUCUAUGGCUCCAGGGGAAAAUCUUGCUUUUUCAGGAGGGAUACUACUCUCAGAGAUUCCUGUAGAAGUUUGGGGUUAGCUCCUCCAGGGAUACCUGCAUGAACUGUUGCUUCACACAGUGAGGAGGAGUUAACUCAUCCAAUGGUAUAACUUUAAGACAAGUCAGUGAACAUCAAUGAGCCUCAGUUUCUUCAUUAAGAACAUGGGAGAUGAUCAUAUUUCUUUAUAGGGUCAUUCAAUUAUAGAUCUUACAUGAGAAGAGUCCAGCUCAGUAUAGUGCUUGGAGCACAGGGUUGGCAAUAAGUGGAUGUAUUAUUAUUGCCAUAGUCUGGCAUUUGGAAACUACUGGGCAUUGACCCAGGGAAAGAACCUUUAGUUGUAACUCUCCCCAACACAAAUGUUCUUUAAGAAAAUACUAGUAUAAAUGGCUUUACUUCCAGAUGGUUUAUCUCCAACUGAGUCCUUCAGGUUGAAUAUACUGAAAAUUGGAGUCACUCUUAACAAGGACAAUUAGAAGAAAAGGAAACUGUGGGCCGAAGAGAGAAAGGACAUAAAGUGGAAGAGAUACUAGGAGAAUAAAGAUAUUUGCAGUGCUGCUUCAAGACAAAACCAAACUUGGCUUUGGGAUACAUCCUUGUGCUCUUUGCAAGGUGGGAGCUGAGACUUGAGGAAGGGAAAGGUCAGGGUGAGGUCGAUGUCUGCCUGUGUACUGUGUGGAGUCACUGGGAACGGGGCUCCAGCAUGCAGGGGAGGGUGGCUGAUAAAGCUUCACUUUUUCCAUUACAGGAGUCCAAGUUCUGCUUCAUCUCUAGGUUCCUGGUGGGACUGGGAAAAGGGAGGAGCCCAGGAGGAGGGAGCCAAUAACUCUGAGUCAUCUCAGACAAGAUUUGAACAUCUGGAUAGAGGAAGAGCCACAGGAGGGCAAAUCCUCUUGGUAUCCAUAUUAAAAGACACUAAUUAAAACACAUUUAUAUGCAUCUCACUGUAACUGAGAGGCAGUGGAGAGCCUGAAGACAUUCUAACAUGGCAGGAGGCUGGAGUAAUGGAAUUCAACUGUAGAGCUGCCAAUAGUCAUAAUUAAACAUCUGCAAAUUGUCUUUUGAUAGUCUCUUUAGUGAAUUGUCUUCAUUAUUUUAGCAAACCUGAAAAUUCUCUAAAAGGCUUUCAUUUAUUCUCCUUGUCCUCCCUAUUCUAUUUCCCCCAUAAUAUUUUAAGCUUAUCCUUUAUAAAUUCUUGUAC